CCCUUAGAUGUUCUGGGCCGCACGCGUGCUACACUGAUGCCUUCAACGAGUCUAAAACCUGGUCUGAUAGGGCUGGGUAAUCUUUUGAAAGUGCAUCGUGAUUGGGAUAGAUGAUUGCAAUUCUUCAUCUUCAACGAGGAAUGCCUAGUAAACGCAAGUCAUCAGCUUGCAUUGAUUACGUCCCUGCCCUUUGUACACACCGCCCGUCGCUCCUACCGAUUGAAUGAUCCGAUGAAUACCAUGGAUUGAGAGUACGAAUAGGUUCGCUUAUUUCUGCUGCUCGAGAAGUGGAGUAAAUCUUAUCAUUUAGAGGAAGGAGAAGUCGUAACA
Molecule: ribosomal RNA, 330 nt
Filed under: uncultured eukaryote
Lineage: Eukaryota
Description: partial 18S ribosomal RNA
Rfam family: Eukaryotic small subunit ribosomal RNA
Source: RNAcentral